UACCAGCGGCCCUAGUGGUGAUCGUUAUUAUUGGGCCUAAAGCGUCCGUAGCCGGUUCGGUAAAUCUCUGGGUAAAUCGUUGGGCUUAACUCAACGAAUUCUGGGGAGACUGCCGAACUUGGGACCGGGAGAGGUCGGAGGUACUCCAGGGGUAGGGGUGAAAUCCUGUAAUCCUUGGGGGACCACCGGUGGCGAAGGCGUCCGACCAGAACGGGUCCGACGGUAAGGGACGAAGCCCUGGGGCGCGAACCGGAUUAGAUACCCGGGUAGUCCAGGGUGUAAACGCUGUGCGCUUGGUGUUGGGGGUCCCACGAGGGCACCCAGUGCCGGAGAGAAGUUGUUUAGCGCACCGCCUGGGGAGUACGGUCGCAAGACUGGAACUUAAAGGAAUUGGCGGGGGAGCACAGCAACGGGAGGAGCGUGCGGUUU
This 429-nucleotide ribosomal RNA is filed under the name uncultured archaeon. RNAcentral's name for it is "bacterial SSU rRNA". It matches the Rfam family "Archaeal small subunit ribosomal RNA", at positions 474 to 903 of the family's 1478-position model. The record is from RNAcentral.